RNAcentral lists this long non-coding RNA (418 nucleotides) under Oryza brachyantha (malo sina). RNAcentral describes it as "long non-coding RNA (OBRA_LNC000095)". The record is from RNAcentral. Lineage: Eukaryota; Viridiplantae; Streptophyta; Magnoliopsida; Poales; Poaceae.
UGCGGCGGCGGCGUCUCCUCCAUGCGGGGGCGGCGCGCGGAUCUAACCUAAGUUGGGGAUCCCGGAAUGCGCGUGGAGGAGGCGCGCGGAUUUGGGGAUCUGUGGGAGACGAGGAGGACGGAGGGGAGAUUAGAUUCAGCUAUCGUCGAUGGAGCGGCGGAGGAGAAAUUUUUACUGCUCAGUGAGCGUAGAUUUGGUUUUUCUUUCUUUUUUUCCUUAUUAUUUUCUCUUUUCGUCGAUGUCAUUGCGGCUUGAUCUCGGCCUGCUAUUGGUCGAGGGGAGCGCGAGCGCGAGCGUGCGUUCGGUGCUCUUGUGGGAGUGGAAUCGCGGCGACUCGGAUUGCGGGAUUCGGCCAUAUGUCUUCUCCGUUCGUUCAUGUGCUGAAGAAGGACCGGUCAACUUGGGGUCAACGGCGAUA